UGGUUAUGCAGAUUCGGAUUCAGAAGAAACAGUUGACAGUGACCCACAUGAAAGUCAGUUGGCUGGUGAUGGGAUUGGGGAUGACGGUGGCAUGCGUUAGUUAAAGUUUGGUCUAUUUGUUAUCCAAUAAGAUAGGAAGGCGUGCGAGAGUUUAUGCGUUUUUGCUUCAUCUGUUUCAUUUUUUUUUUCUUGGAAGGCAUCUUUUUUCACUUCUUUUUGGCCGGCAAGUUUUGCCAAGGAAACAAUUUAUGGCCCAUGGUUUAAUAAAGUUUAAGCACGCCCCUUUGUAGGCGUAUUCUCUUACAUGUUAUGCUCUGGCCGUGUCAGACGUCUUACCACGAACAAACAAUAGCUAUUAUGCAUGUCGUGCAUCGCACGGGCUUUCUUCCUAGUUUAUUUUAAAAAAAUUACAAGAAUGAAAACCACUUUAAAUAGAGCUACUUUAACUAUUUCAUUUACAUGUGGAUUCCGUUAACAUCCCAGACUAUCUUUAAUGGCGUUUCUGAAUAUGUGUCUCUGGUCUAUUUGGCACCAUUUAAGAUGAACUGACAAACAUUUGCCUUUGUACAAAGACGGUAUCCGAAGAAGGAGGUGGGCCCAAAUAUUUUUUUUUUUAAAUUUUUUAAGUGUUAGAAUAGAAAUGUAAUAUCUAAAACUACAUUUUCUAUAAAUUUUAAUGAAAAAUAUAUAGUUUUGUGUAUUUUAUGUU
This 709-nucleotide long non-coding RNA is filed under the name Helianthus annuus (common sunflower). RNAcentral describes it as "sRNA HanXRQr2_Chr07g0296211". Lineage: Eukaryota; Viridiplantae; Streptophyta; Magnoliopsida; Asterales; Asteraceae. The record is from RNAcentral.